UUGUAGCAAUACAGAUUGAUGCGACCGGCGCACGGGUGAGUAACGCGUAUGCAACUUACCUAUCAGAGGGGGAUAGCCCGGCGAAAGUCGGAUUAAUACCCCAUAAAACAGGGGUCCCGCAUGGGAAUAUUUGUUAAAGAUUCAUCGCUGAUAGAUAGGCAUGCGUUCCAUUAGGCAGUUGGCGGGGUAACGGCCCACCAAACCGACGAUGGAUAGGGGUUCUGAGAGGAAGGUCCCCCACAUUGGUACUGAGACACGGACCAAACUCCUACGGGAGGCAGCAGUGAGGAAUAUUGGUCAAUGGCCGAGAGGCUGAACCAGCCAAGUCGCGUGAAGGAAGAAGGAUCUAUGGUUUGUAAACUUCUUUUAUAGGGGAAUAAAGUGGAGGACGUGUCCUUUUUUGUAUGUACCCUAUGAAUAAGCAUCGGCUAACUCCGUGCCAGCAGCCGCGGUAAUACGGAGGAUGCGAGCGUUAUCCGGAUUUAUUGGGUUUAAAGGGUGCGUAGGUGGUGAUUUAAGUCAGCGGUGAAAGUUUGUGGCUCAACCAUAAAAUUGCCGUUGAAACUGGGUUACUUGAGUGUGUUUGAGGUAGGCGGAAUGCGUGGUGUAGCGGUGAAAUGCAUAGAUAUCACGCAGAACUCCGAUUGCGAAGGCAGCUUACUAAACCAUAACUGACACUGAAGCACGAAAGCGUGGGGA
Molecule: ribosomal RNA, 699 nt
Filed under: uncultured Bacteroidales bacterium
Lineage: Bacteria; Pseudomonadati; Bacteroidota; Bacteroidia; Bacteroidales
Description: bacterial SSU rRNA
Rfam family: Bacterial small subunit ribosomal RNA
Source: RNAcentral